GACCCGGUGGCGGACGAUUACGCGCCCGCUUUAUGUAAGCAUCGGUUAUUGGAAUCUUCAAUCGGGAGGUCCUGGUUCGACUCCAGGCCGGGUCU
Molecule: non-coding RNA, 95 nt
Organism: Mycena capillaripes
Lineage: Eukaryota; Fungi; Basidiomycota; Agaricomycetes; Agaricales; Mycenaceae
Source: the annotation of a GenBank genome assembly